RNAcentral lists this ribosomal RNA (670 nucleotides) under Streptomyces sp. RNAcentral describes it as "bacterial SSU rRNA". It matches the Rfam family "Bacterial small subunit ribosomal RNA", at positions 101 to 784 of the family's 1533-position model. Lineage: Bacteria; Bacillati; Actinomycetota; Actinomycetes; Kitasatosporales; Streptomycetaceae. The record is from RNAcentral.
AACGGGUGAGUAACACGUGGGCAAUCUGCCCUUCACUCUGGGACAAGCCCUGGAAACGGGGUCUAAUACCGGAUACAACCACCGGCCGCAUGGUCUGGUGGUGGAAAGCUCCGGCGGUGAAGGAUGAGCCCGCGGCCUAUCAGCUUGUUGGUGAGGUAACGGCUCACCAAGGCGACGACGGGUAGCCGGCCUGAGAGGGCGACCGGCCACACUGGGACUGAGACACGGCCCAGACUCCUACGGGAGGCAGCAGUGGGGAAUAUUGCACAAUGGGCGAAAGCCUGAUGCAGCGACGCCGCGUGAGGGAUGACGGCCUUCGGGUUGUAAACCUCUUUCAGCAGGGAAGAAGCGAAAGUGACGGUACCUGCAGAAGAAGCGCCGGCUAACUACGUGCCAGCAGCCGCGGUAAUACGUAGGGCGCGAGCGUUGUCCGGAAUUAUUGGGCGUAAAGAGCUCGUAGGCGGUCUGUCGCGUCGGAUGUGAAAGCCCGGGGCUUAACCCCGGGUCUGCAUUCGAUACGGGCAGACUAGAGUGUGGUAGGGGAGAUCGGAAUUCCUGGUGUAGCGGUGAAAUGCGCAGAUAUCAGGAGGAACACCGGUGGCGAAGGCGGAUCUCUGGGCCAUUACUGACGCUGAGGAGCGAAAGCGUGGGGAGCGAACAGGAUUAGAUA